ACAGUUAUUGUUUAUUUGAUACAUCAAAUGGAUAACUGUAGAAAAACUAGAGCUAAUACAUGCUAAGGCCGCAAGGUCGUAUUUAUUAGAUAUUCCGAUAAGGUGAAUCAUAAUAACUUCGCAAAUCUCGUCUAUGAUGAGAUAAAUCAUCCAAGUUUCUGCCCUAUCAUGCUUUCGUUGGUAGUGUAUUGGACUACCAUGGCUCUCACGGGUAACAGGGAAUUAGGGUUCGAUUCUGGAGAAGGAGCCUGAGAAACGGCUACUACAUCUACGGAAGGCAGCAGGCGCGUAAAUUACCCAAUCCUGACUCAGGGAGGUGGUGACAAGAUAUAACAACGUGAUUUUUAAUCUCGAUUGUAGUGAGGGUUUUCUAAAUAGAACCUAUAGUACGAUUAGAGGGCAAGUCUGGUGCCAGCAGCCGCGGUAAUUCCAGCUCUAAUAGCGUAUAUUAAAGUUGCUGCAGUUAAAAAGCUCAUAGUUGGAUUUCAAGGAAUGUAUGCUCGUAUGAGUUUACAUCCUACUAGUCAUUGACUGUUACUGUGAGAAAAUUAGAGUGUUUCAAGCAGGCUUUAGCAAGAAUACAUUAGCAUGGAAUAACGAAUGUAUUUAGAAUCGUGGUUUAAUUCUAAAUUACGAUUAAUAG
Molecule: ribosomal RNA, 643 nt
Filed under: uncultured rumen protozoa
Lineage: Eukaryota
Description: SSU rRNA
Rfam family: Eukaryotic small subunit ribosomal RNA
Source: RNAcentral